UGUAAUUAUACCACAUGAACAGAAAGAGGGGGAAAAAACGAUCAUCUCAAUUGAUGCAGAAAAAAAAACAUUUGAAAAACUUCAGCAUCCUUUCAUUAAAAAAACAAAUUAUGAAUACAAGGAAACUAAGUCAACAUAAUAAGAAGUCAGAUACAAACAACUCGGAGCAAACACUGCACUCAGCUGUGAAAGAUGGAAGCGUUAAAGCCCAUCUUAACCAAAUGGCUGCACCUUAACUAGUUACAUCUGCAAGGACCCUAUUUUUAAAUAAAUUUACUCUUAUGAGUUAAAUUGUGUCACCUAAAAAAGAUAUUUGAAGAGAAAAAACUCAAUGAAACAAAAAGGUGGUUCUUUAAAAAGAUCAAUAAUAUUAAGCAACUUUUUGCUAGACUGUCUUAGUCUGUUCAGGCUGCCGUAACAAAAUGCCAUAGACUGGGUAGCUUACCUACAGUAGAAACCUAUUUUUCACAGUUCUGGAAGUCCAAGAUCAGGGUGCCCGCACGGGUGGGUGACGUCCCUCUUCUGGGUCACAGAUUUCUCAUUAUAUCAUCGCAUGCAUAAGGGGCUAGGUAUCUCUCUGGAGCCUCUUUUGUAAGAGCACUAAUAGCGUUCAUGGGGACUCUGCCCUCAUGACCUAAUAGCCUUCCAAAAGCCCCACCUCCUGUUACCAUCACAUCAGGUGUUAGGAUUUGACAUAACCAUUUUGAAAGGAUACACACCUUCAGACUAUAAUAGCAUAGACUUACAAAGAAAAAAAGAGAAGAUGCAAAUAACUUAAACCAAAAGUGAAAGUGGGGACAUUUUUACCAAACUUAUAGAGAUACAAAGGAUAAGAGAAUACUAUAAACAAUUGAACACCAACAUAUUAGAUAAUUUAGAAGAAAUGGACAGAUUUUUUUUGAAACACACCAGUUACCUAAACUGUCUCAAAAAGAAAGUCUCAACAGACCUAUAACAAGUAAAGAUAUUGAAUGAGUAAUCAAAAACUCUGAAGAAAGAAAAGUCCUGAACCAAUAGCUUUACAGGUGAUUUCUACCAAAUAUUUAAAGAAUUAACACCAAACCCCAUCAAAUUCUUCCAAAAAAUUGAGCAGAGGGAAGCACUUCCUGACUCAUCAUAGGAGGCCAGCAUUAUUCUGAUACCAAAGCCAGAUAAAGACAUCAGAAGAAAAGAUUAUAGACAAAUGUCCCUUGUGAAUAUAAAUGCAAAAGUUCUCGUCGAGAUAUUAGCAAAUUUGAUUUGACAACGUAUUUAAAGAAUUAUUCACCACAACCACGUGGGAUUUAUCCCAGGAAUGCAAGGGUGAUUCAACAUCAAAAAAUCAAACAGUGUAAUACAUUAUGUUAACAAAAUGAAGGCAACAAAAUCACAUCCUUAAGCACGAUAGACAGGAAACCAAGGCAGGAAGGAGAAGGGAGCCCUGUCUCACCCACUAACAGCAGUCCUGAGCCUGGUCCGACAAUACUGCCGGGUGUUCCAACAGCACAGGAAACAUUAUGUUAGCACGGGGAGAGGGGAGUCCUUGAACUUCCACUAUCUGGGAAGGAAAGCCUUUGAAACUGUGUAUUCAUCCCAAGGUCUAGAAAGGGGAGAAGGAGGAGUGCACCAUGCCCAAAGAGAAAAUCCAUAAAUAACUUUGUUUAACUGCCUCAAUAUUAAUUAACUGCCUCCUGUCAUGCAUCUGUUUUACAAGAUGAGCAAAUGGGAUCUGGAGCGAGAUUAGGAUUUGGGCUAACAGGCCCCCACACAUACCUAAGUUUGGGUAGUCAUGCUCCCUCAAGUCCUGUGGAAAGCUGGCACCACCUUUACCUGUCAAUCAAUAUAGAACUUCUUCAUCCCAUCCCGCCAACUAUGUAAGUCCUUAACACGAAGGACCUGAUGCCCCCUACCUUGCCCUGCCCUGAACCUAUGCCUUUCAACCCCCACCUUAGCUUGGACCAUUCUCUUCCAUGAGAAUGCAUCACUAAUAAAACCUGCUUGCAUGCUAAUAGACUUGCUGAUCUGCAAUUCUUCACUGCAUCGGCAAGAAGAACCGAGUUUCUCCACUGAUGGGCACCAAAUCUG
Long non-coding RNA from Phyllostomus discolor (pale spear-nosed bat), 2064 nucleotides. RefSeq lists it as uncharacterized. The transcript is spliced from 3 exons. NCBI's taxonomy places the organism in Eukaryota, Metazoa, Chordata, Mammalia, Chiroptera, Phyllostomidae. The record is from RefSeq and is a predicted model, not a curated record.